AAGCAUAUCAAUAAGCGGAGGAAAAGAAACCCACAGGGAUUGCCCUAGUAACGGCGAGUGAAGCGGCAACAGCUCAAAUUUGAAAUCUGGCGCAAGCCCGAGUUGUAAUUUGUAGAGGAUGCUUCUGGGUAGCGACCGGUCUAAGUUCCUUGGAACAGGACGUCAUAGAGGGUGAGAAUCCCGUAUGUGACCGGCCCGCACCCUUUACGUAGCUCCUUCGACGAGUCGAGUUGUUUGGGAAUGCAGCUCUAAAUGGGAGGUAAAUUUCUUCUAAAGCUAAAUACCGGCCAGAGACCGAUAGCGCACAAGUAGAGUGAUCGAAAGAUGAAAAGUACUUUGGAAAGAGAGUUAAAAAGCACGUGAAAUUGUUGAAAGGGAAGCGCCUGCAAUCAGACUUCGCGGCAGUGUUCCGCCGGUCUUCUGACCGGUUUAUUCUCUGUCGCGAGGCCAUCAUCGUCUCGGCCCGCAGGAUAAGACCUUGGGAAUGUAGCUCACCUUCGGGGGAGUGUUAUAGCUCAUGGUGAUGCAGCGAGGCUGGGGCGAGGUCCGCGCUUCGGCAAGGAUGAUGGCGUAAUGGUUGUCGGCGGCCCGUCUUGAAACACGGACCAAGGAGUCUAACAUCUAUGCGAGUGUUCGGGUGUCAAACCCCUACGCGUAAUGAAAGUGAACGGAGGUGGGAACCGCAAGGUGCACCAUCGACCGAUCCUGAUGUCCUCGGAUGGAUUUGAGUAAGAGCAUAGCUGUUGGGACCCGAAAGAUGGUGAACUAUGCCUGAAUAGGGUGAAGCCAGAGGAAACUCUGGUGGAGGCUCGCAGCGGUUCUGACGUGCAAAUCGAUCGUCAAAUUUGGGUAUAGGG
RNAcentral lists this ribosomal RNA (857 nucleotides) under Sphaerulina patriniae. RNAcentral describes it as "LSU rRNA". It matches the Rfam family "Eukaryotic large subunit ribosomal RNA", at positions 36 to 922 of the family's 3401-position model. Lineage: Eukaryota; Fungi; Ascomycota; Dothideomycetes; Mycosphaerellales; Mycosphaerellaceae. The record is from RNAcentral.